Mesocricetus auratus (golden hamster) is the source of this 295-nucleotide non-coding RNA. Lineage: Eukaryota; Metazoa; Chordata; Mammalia; Rodentia; Cricetidae. The record is from Rfam.
AGAUGAGAAUGCAACCAGGCUGUGAUAUCUGUCGCCAGGGUUGGUUUCCAUGAUCUGACUGGAUAGGCAGACAUCCUUUUUGUCCUUCAUCACUCUGUGUAAUUCCCUCAGAAGAUUCUCGGCUACCGUUGAAGAACACAGCCUUCCACAAAUAGAGGAGGACUGGUCUUUGGUCAAGGGUGUGGAAGUAUCUGUGCUGCCCUGCUAUAAAUUCCAAACAAAAUCUUAUGGUCAUGGUGUUUUAUCACAGCACUAGACAACUGUAAUAACUACUAAAGAGCAUCAACCUAUUAUU